Molecule: long non-coding RNA, 2854 nt
Organism: Oxyura jamaicensis (ruddy duck)
Lineage: Eukaryota; Metazoa; Chordata; Aves; Anseriformes; Anatidae
Exons: 12
Source: RefSeq, a predicted model, not a curated record
UUCACUGGCUGGUUGUCAGGUGGUGUAUCAGAGGUGGAACUAGUAUAUUUUUAGGGAAAAUGUGCAAGUUGGGUAGUCUUUGAGCAUGGGAUUGUGAAACCAGGUUUCCAAUGGAGCGAAUGGUUUAAUAAAAUACACGUGGGGAAAAAAAGAGAAAACACUGAUGGGGCAUUGCCCCAUUCUAGCCUUCAAGGGAUUUUUUGCUUCCACACCUACAAGAUGUGGAAAACCUGCGAGCCGUGGCGAUGAGCUCACAGCACGCCGUGGUCCUAGCACAGGCCUGUUUCGCUUUCAUGCUGCAAAACUAGACUGAAGCAACAGCACCAAAAAAGAAUAACUUAAUCUCUUCCCAAAGGCCCAGCAUGGCACAGGCUGGAGCAGACGGUGCUGGUCCUGGUGAACUUCUGCAGGUCCAUGUUCGUUGUGGAGAGCAGCUCCCGUCCCCAUGGAUCAGAAUUACUUCGUGCAGACAAACGUUGCUGUCCUCCCAAAGCCCAGCAAGAGGUGCUUGCCCUCUAGCAGCAGCGAAGGAUGGGAUCUCUCUCCGUUCCUCAGCCAGCUGUUGGUGCGAGUGAAAGGUGGCUGGUUCAGAGCACACAAGGCUGUGAUACUCUGGGACAAGGGGUAGAUAAAAUCCUCGUACAGGCAUCUUGCUAUUUGGUAACUUGUGCUGAAGGGCCGGGUGUUUGGUGGGAGCAAAAGCUCCAGCUGUCCCUGCUGGUGCUCUGACUUGUGGUAGAGAGCAGAUUUUGUUGCUCUUGCCCUCAUGGAUGCACUUGUUUAAAAAUGGCUGGAGUUUUUUUUUAAUGUAGUGGUAUUUCUCUUGAAUCUUUGCAAAAUUCUUUCAAAGUGUGUUUGACACAGGCCUGGAAAAUGACUGUGAAAAGCUGAGCUCUCUGUGGGGCUGCAGGCUCGGCCCUGCCGCAGGAGCCAAUUUAAACACUUCCACGGGGCAGAGAGUCAUUCGCCGAUUUUGGUUUAAAACAGUGAUCAGACGUGGAGGUGCCAGAAAUCUCAGAGUGUUUCCGUGCCAGCUCUGCAGCUGUUAAAGGACACGGACUUGGGAUAAGGCUCAAAUAAACAUCCAAGUUUUUUUCUAUUGAAUGUUUAAAUGAAUGAAAGCUGAGCUCCUAACCUUUCAAGAUUUCCAGCUUACACACUUAUUAAACAGAGGAAAAGCAAUAGAGCGUACCGCUCGGUGUUUUUCAGCGUCGUGCCUUCCAAGCUCCCCUGUCUCCUUCCAAGCUCCACUGUGUGAUCCUGCCUUCCUAUUACCAUCGGAGACAAACUGGAGAAAGGAACUUCAUAAGCAAGCCCGAUAUUAAACAUAUAAAUAAUGCAUCCUUCGGCGUUAUUUAUAAUGCAGUAGCAUCACUGUGCUGUAUCACAUGCAAUUUCACAUUGCCUCUUUUUUAACUGCUUUCCUGCCAAGCACAUCCUUCACACCUUCUUACUGUGCUUACCCUCCUCCUGACAGUAAUGCAAAGUGUGCGAUGCAGUUUAAGGAAGGAGCCUUCUCUGGUGGGGAAAGCUGUCUACGUAAAGUAGAACAGGGGCUUUUCAGGUACGCGUGCUGAGCUUUCCUGCUAUGCCGUGCAAUAAGCAUUGCUGCAGAAAGGAAAUCAUAGCUGAGCACGGUGUACAGAGAAAGUCUUCUGAAGGCUGAACUUCUGCACACGGCAGUGAUUUACAGAGGUUCUCUGACUCUGUCUGGCCACUCGCAAGGCACCAGAGACUUGAUGAUUAGAUGGAGAAUUGAAGAUCUUUGACAGUGCUGCUAAUCAGCAUCUCAGUGCUGGCUUUCUACACUGCCUGACCGAAAAAAGGACGUGCUUACCGACUGCAGGGGUGCCUGUGUGUUCGUAACCAUAUUAGAUUGCAACUGGUAGAGCACGGAGUUAUCUUCAAGGGCUUUAUGAGACUGCUACACAGCUUCAGCAGGGACCCACCAGACAUGAACUCAGCCAGACAGUCUGAAAGCCACAGGCUAAAAGAGGAUGAUCAUCACGAGAAACAAGCAAAGAGAAAAGACCUGUGACUUCCAUCAAGGAACUCUGAGCCCACUGCAAGUUUUCACAUACCCAACAGAAAGCUCACUUCCUGGUUCUGCCUGGGAACAAGAAGCAGGAAGCACCAUAAAUCUUGUGAAAAAGCCUGUUCUGGCAAGCUUCCUAGCCCAGUUUUGCUGAUCAUUGAGUUUUGGAUCAUUUGGAUAAACUUCAUAUCCCAGUACCUGCCUGCCCUGGAAAUGAGAGAGGCAUGAGAUUUGAACAAGCUGUUGUCUGUACAGACGGAGCCUCAGCUGAGGGACUGCUGCUCCUCUUCACCAUGCUGAACCUGGCUGUUGGUGGAUUGUGCGGAUGGGCAAGAGAAUGGAAAACGUGGCCCACAACAGCUUCAACACGUGGCACAGAGAUUGCAGCUCCGAGGAGACUGUUUCACCUGCUCUCUCCUCCUUGCUCAUUCCCGGCGGUGGCUCCACUUAAAGCUUGGACUCGUGGCUCCAAUCAAGCGAGCGCCCAAAUUCCUAGAGUGCUCUGGGAAGCAUCUAGCAGUGACAGAGCAGCGGCUCAUGACAUUUGAAGACUCUGGCAUCUAGAGACUGCUCCAAGCUCUGGCUGGAAAUUAAAAGCAAUGCAACUGCAUAGAUGAAGGUUCAAGAGAGAUUAGGGCGGUCAAUACCUUUAAGGAUCAAUAGCGCGGAGGCACAGGAAUGAAGGAGGGCAGCUCCAAAGCAGGCAAGGCAGGAAGCAGAGAUGGGUGGGGAACCGGCCUGCACUGGAUCCUAGCUGGGUUUCUGAACCACGAGACUAAAUAGUGGUCUCAUAAUGAUUGCUCCCGGAGAAAAAACCUU